Non-coding RNA from Mycena epipterygia, 90 nucleotides. NCBI's taxonomy places the organism in Eukaryota, Fungi, Basidiomycota, Agaricomycetes, Agaricales, Mycenaceae. The record is from the annotation of a GenBank genome assembly.
GGCCUAGUGGCGAAAGGCAUCGCGUCCGCAACAUCUGAGAAGUCAAAAUUGGUAGUCUGGAAUUCCCUGGUUCGAAUCCAGGCUAGGUCA